Molecule: ribosomal RNA, 433 nt
Filed under: uncultured bacterium
Lineage: Bacteria
Description: partial 16S ribosomal RNA
Rfam family: Bacterial small subunit ribosomal RNA
Source: RNAcentral
AACGAACGCUGGCGGCAUGCCUAACACAUGCAAGUCGAACGAGACCUUCGGGUCUAGUGGCGCACGGGUGCGUAACGCGUGGGAACCUGCCGUUAGGUUCGGAAUAACUCCCCGAAAGGGGUGCUAAUACCGGAUAAUGUCUUCGGACCAAAGAUUUAUCGCCUUUGGAUGGGCCCGCGUUGGAUUAGCUAGUUGGUAGGGUAAAAGCCUACCAAGGCGACGAUCCAUAGCUGGUCUGAGAGGAUGAUCAGCCACACUGGGACUGAGACACGGCCCAGACUCCUACGGGAGGCAGCAGUGGGGAAUAGUGGACAAUGGGCGAAAGCCUGAUCCAGCAAUGCCGCGUGAGUGAUGAAGGCCUUAGGGUUGUAAAGCUCUUUUACCCGGGAUGAUAAUGACAGUACCGGGAGAAUAAGCUCCGGCUAACUCCGUG